CUGACGUCAUUUGCAGACUCUAUACAGCCUGAAAACAGGAAGAGAGAAGCAGAAGUCCAGGGAGUCACAGGAGGUGCCGUUAUCUUCUGGGAUAGAGUGUCUGAUGCAUUGACCUCAGAAACUCCAACGGCAGCCACCUCACUUCAGAAAAUGCAUCUGGUUGCUGUCCCCAGAGCUGUGUGUGCUGCCCAUGGGAACAUGGAGGGCACUGAGUAUCAGCAAGUCUUCGUCAGCUUUUGUUCUCUAGCACUGUAGAAUUCUGUGUAUUUUGGAAUGAGACAUGCCAGUAUGCUGUUCUAAGCCAGUAGCUGAACAGAUUCAGCAGCAUUUGCAGAAGUCCUGCAAAGUAAGUUGACAGCCCUGAGCUGAGCUCCUGGUGCAGCUGGGGCAGCCCAGCUCUGUCAGGUCCCUCUGGGCACCCUAAGCCCUGCUGUGUGCCCACAGCUCUCGCUGUGCCCCUGUGCUUGGUUUCAUAGAAUUGUAGAGUUGUUUGAGUUGGAAGGGACCCUUAAAGGCCAUCCUAUCCAACUCCCCUGCAAUGAACAAGGACACCCACAGCUCCAUCAGGUGAUCAGAGCCGGGUCCAGCCUGACCCUGAAUGGCUCCAAGGAUGGGGCAUCCACCAGCUCUCUGGGCAACCUGUGCCAGUGCCUCACCGCCCUUACAGUAAAAAAAACUUCCUAAUAUCCAGUCUAAAUCUUCCCUUUUAGUUUGAAACCAUUUUUCCUUGCUUUGUCACCACAGACCCUCCUGAAGACUCUGUCCCCUUUUUUCUUACAACCCCUUUGGAUACUGACAGGCCGCCCUCAGCUCUCCCCACAGCCUUCUCUUCUCCAUGCUGCACAGCCGCAGCUCUCAGCCUGUCCUCACAAGGAGGUGUUCCAUUCCAUCGGUCAUUUUCGUGACCCUCCUCUGGAUGCAGUCCAACAGGUCCGUAUCUCUCCUGUACUGAGGAUGCAGUACUCCAGGCGAGGUCUCACCGGCGCAGAGCGGAGGGGCGGGACCCCUCCCUCGCCCUGCUGGCCACGCCGCUUUUGCCGCAGCCCAGGAUAGCGGUUUCCUUCACAAACACCCACUUUUGUCCCAUUUCCUUAACGUGAGGGAGCGACGGGGAUCCCGGGACCCCGAUCCCGCACGGCGAGACCCCCCUCCAGCGGACGGCCCGUGCCCGGAGGCUUUGUGCGGAGCGCUGCGAGAGCCGCGGGAUGCUGCGGGCAUCGCUGCGCCCGCGGAGCGCGUUCCUCCCGGGGGCGAGCGGAGCUUGGCUCGCCCCCGGGAAGGACGCGCCGAGCCGUCGGUUCUCCCCGCCGCCGCCCGGCUUCCGUUAGCGGCCGGAGCAGGACAUCUUUG
This 1350-nucleotide long non-coding RNA is filed under the name Phasianus colchicus (ring-necked pheasant). Its description in RNAcentral is "lncRNA (ENSPCLG00000013422.1)". The record is from RNAcentral. Lineage: Eukaryota; Metazoa; Chordata; Aves; Galliformes; Phasianidae.